UACAGAGGGGGCAAGCGUUGUUCGGAAUUACUGGGCGUAAAGGGCGCGUAGGCGGCGCGGUAAGUCACUUGUGGAAUCUCUGAGCUUAACUCAGAACGGCCAAGUGAUACUGCAGUGCUAGAGUGCAGAAGGGGCAAUCGGAAUUCUUGGUGUAGCGGUGAAAUGCGUAGAUAUCAAGAGGAACACCUGAGGUGAAGACGGGUUGCUGGGCUGACACUGACGCUGAGGCGCGAAAGCCAGGGGAGCAAACGGG
Molecule: ribosomal RNA, 253 nt
Filed under: uncultured bacterium
Lineage: Bacteria
Description: partial 16S ribosomal RNA
Rfam family: Bacterial small subunit ribosomal RNA
Source: RNAcentral